RNAcentral lists this transfer RNA (68 nucleotides) under Platygaster sp. ZJUH_2016029. RNAcentral's name for it is "tRNA-Val". The record is from RNAcentral. Lineage: Eukaryota; Metazoa; Arthropoda; Insecta; Hymenoptera; Platygastridae.
UAAAUUUUAAUUUAUAAUAAAAUAUUUUAUUUACAUUAAAAAAAAUUAAUUAGGGGUUAAAAAUUUUA